GAUGAACGCUGGCGGCGUGCUUAACACAUGCAAGUCGAACGAUGAAGCCCAGCUUGCUGGGUGGAUUAGUGGCGAACGGGUGAGUAACACGUGAGUAACCUGCCCUUAACUCUGGGAUAAGCCUCGGAAACUGGGUCUAAUACCGGAUAGGAGCGUCCACCGCAUGGUGGGUGUUGGAAAGAUUUAUCGGUUUUGGAUGGACUCGCGGCCUAUCAGCUUGUUGGUGAGGUAAUGGCUCACCAAGGCGACGACGGGUAGCCGGCCUGAGAGGGUGACCGGCCACCCUGGGACUGAGACACGGCCCAGACUCCUACGGGAGGCAGCAGUGGGGAAUAUUGCACAAUGGGCGCAAGCCUGAUGCAGCGACGCCGCGUGAGGGAUGACGGCCUUCGGGUUGUAAACCUCUUUCAGUAGGGAAGAAGCGAAAGUGACGGUACCUGCAGAAGAAGCACCGGCUAACUACGUG
This 466-nucleotide ribosomal RNA is filed under the name uncultured bacterium. Its description in RNAcentral is "partial 16S ribosomal RNA". It matches the Rfam family "Bacterial small subunit ribosomal RNA", at positions 28 to 507 of the family's 1533-position model. The record is from RNAcentral.